Molecule: ribosomal RNA, 447 nt
Filed under: uncultured bacterium
Lineage: Bacteria
Description: partial 16S ribosomal RNA
Rfam family: Bacterial small subunit ribosomal RNA
Source: RNAcentral
AACGAACGCUGGCGGCAUGCCUAACACAUGCAAGUCGAACGAUGCCUUCGGGCAUAGUGGCGCACGGGUGCGUAACGCGUGGGAAUCUGCCCUUGGCUUCGGAAUAACAGUUAGAAAUGACUGCUAAUACCGGAUGAUGUCCCCCUGAGAGAUCUUGGGGACCACAGAUUUAUCGGCCAGGGAUGAGCCCGCGUAGGAUUAGGUAGUUGGUGGGGUAAAGGCCUACCAAGCCGACGAUCCUUAGCUGGUCUGAGAGGAUGAUCAGCCACACUGGGACUGAGACACGGCCCAGACUCCUACGGGAGGCAGCAGUGGGGAAUAUUGGACAAUGGGGGGAACCCUGAUCCAGCAAUGCCGCGUGAGUGAUGAAGGCCUUAGGGUUGUAAAGCUCUUUUACCAGGGAUGAUAAUGACAGUACCUGGAGAAUAAGCUCCGGCUAACUCCGUG